Molecule: ribosomal RNA, 164 nt
Filed under: uncultured bacterium
Lineage: Bacteria
Description: partial 16S rRNA
Rfam family: Bacterial small subunit ribosomal RNA
Source: RNAcentral
UAGGGAAUCUUCCACAAUGGGCGAAAGCCUGAUGGAGCAACGCCGCGUGUGUGAUGAAGGGUUUCGGCUCGUAAAACGCUGUUGUAAGAGAAGAAUGACAUUGAGGGUAACUGUUCAAUGUGUGACGGUAUCUUACCAGAAAGGAACGGCUAAAUACGUGUCAG